CUUACCUCCAUGGGGAAGCUGACGUGGUUUCUUUCGUUGAAGCUACCUCACGGGACCAAGGGCACCGCGCCUGCCGCCCGCACCGUGUUCGACCUUAUGGCGCUGAAGCACAUGCAUUGCUUUGCUGAGAGCACUUUCGAUCGCCGUGACGGGGUUCGAGGCCGCAGAGGCGAGUGUCGUGUAUGGCUAGAUGCUGAGUUCAGGGUCAACGAGUUGUUGUCGCCUGCGAUGGAUGGAUGAAAGAGUGAGAUUGGCAGCUGCUCCUGCUCAGGAAGCACACGGAUGCUGACUGACGAACCAACGCAUGGUGAAGUACAUUUCAGACGCGCAAAGCCGCAGACGGAUCAACUUAUCCAUCUUCUUCAGAGUCUUCUGUCUCCAUUAGCUUGCAAGUUGCAGUUGGAAGGGUGAAUCGAGAAUACCAACCAAGCUAGCCAUCAGCCCUGGCGAACCCGGUUGCUUCCUUGACACUCGCAGCCUCUGACAUGACACUGGUUGGUAAUGGCGAUAGAGACUCCACAGCACAUUGUCGUUUCGUCAAGCAGCUGUGCCUCUGCAGUCUGCACCAUGCAGAGUGCUAAUCUUCUGAUAAUAGCAUGGAGUCAACGACUGAUCAUGCGAGCAAAAGCGCUUUUGCCGACAGAUUAUCUGAAAGGAGAUGUGCUUUUCGAUCUCCUAACUGAAAAGGGCAUCCAGUCCCAGCUGAUUGGCUGCUUAGUCUGCAAAGAUAAGUGCUGCUGCCUACGUACUGCAUGGGGGAUGGUGUGGCUGAUUUGCUGAAGCACAUGGUUAGCCGUGCAAAUUUACAACUUGCGUGCCAUUGCAGCUAGAAUCCCAACUCCCGUGGGUGUGAGCAAGUGAGAAACGUGCAAGCAAAAGGGAGAACGUUAUGGAUGCACAAGUCAAAGCCAGCUCAAUAAGGAGCCAGUACUAAAUUGUUUGAAUGCAGAACAAAGUCAAUCUUGGACCAAUGAUGCAACCAUUACACCAACAGCACAUCAUUGUCUUCAUGCUACCGACCGAUGAGUAGUUGGGAACAUCAGUCAUCUACUGCCCCUUCCAAUUCUUCUCCGAACCUCUGUUCAUAUGCAUACAAAGCUCUUUACAGUUGUGGUUUAACAGCUGAAUGAUCAAUCAAAUGACUGGAAAAUUGCUGAUUGCAGCUGGCUCACCUGAAGGAACAGCAUGUUUGCAAUGUAGGGGAUUCACAGGAUUCAGCUCUAAACCAAAAAGGUGGGCGUGGUUGUGCAUCAUUAGGAUUGCGAUGCCGCUUUCGGAUAACAGGACAACUGUAUGUCUCUAUCUGAUUGGACUUGCUCUCCCCAUGGAAUCCCUGGUACGUGCAGUUGAACCGAAGGAAGCAAAGUAAAGUGUGAGCUGGUGCGACCCAUGCAUGCUGCUGCUGCAUUGCUGCCUGUCAUAGCAUGGGGAUGGACACAACUGUUCUGGUGGUUACUGUAAGUUUUUCUCUCUCUCUCACCUUUCUUGCUUCCCGUGGUCUCUUGAGAUUCAAUUCUGUCACUGUCACUCCAAUGCAAAAGUCACUUUCCCACUACCUUAUAAUUGAAAUGCCACUAGUGGGUCUGGCUCACUUGGUUAUUGAUUUCUUUUUCCUCAUGCACGUCAGAGAUUGUUUCAUCACAGUACAGUUAUGUGUACUGUCUUCAGUUAUGUGAGAUACUAGAAGUAUGUCGUCGUGGUUCAUUGUAUGCCGUAAGCACAGCCACACACUUAGCCUGCUUGAAUUCCUUUGUUUUCGGUUAGAUGGCCAAUUGGCCAUCAGUAUCU
Molecule: long non-coding RNA, 1788 nt
Organism: Hordeum vulgare subsp. vulgare (domesticated barley)
Lineage: Eukaryota; Viridiplantae; Streptophyta; Magnoliopsida; Poales; Poaceae
Exons: 3
Source: RefSeq, a predicted model, not a curated record